Molecule: ribosomal RNA, 382 nt
Filed under: uncultured marine Chaetocerotaceae
Lineage: Eukaryota; Bacillariophyta; Thalassiosirophyceae; Chaetocerotales; Chaetocerotaceae
Description: SSU rRNA
Rfam family: Eukaryotic small subunit ribosomal RNA
Source: RNAcentral
AGCUCCAAUAGCGUAUAUUUUAGUUGUUGCAGUUAAAAAGCUCAUAGUUGAAUUUCUGGUGGGGGAAUGCAGUGUGACCCUUAGGGUUAUGACUUGCAAUCUCCGGCCAUCCUUGGGUGGAGCCAUUCUGGCAUUAAGUUGUCGGGGUGGGGAUGCCCAUUGUUUACUGUGAAAAAAUUAGAGUGUUCAAAGCAGACUUAUGUCGUUGAAUAUAUUAGCAUGGAAUAAUAAGAUAGGACAGCAGUGCUAUUUUGUUGGUUUGCGCACCGUUGUAAUGAUGAAUAGGGACAGUUGUGGGUAUUCGUAUUCACUUGUAAGAGGUGAAAUUCUUAGAUUAAGGGAAGACGAACUACUGCGAAAGCAUUUACCAAGGAUGUUUUCA